This 5670-nucleotide long non-coding RNA is filed under the name Marmota monax (woodchuck). The record is from RNAcentral. Lineage: Eukaryota; Metazoa; Chordata; Mammalia; Rodentia; Sciuridae.
CUCAGUUUGCCCUGUGCCAGAGACCCUGGGAGGAUUCAGACUUAAGGGCAUUACUGCUUAUCCUCCCGGCCACUAAAAACCCAUUGCAAAAGAGAAUCGUGUGCUCUUUCAUUGCCUUUGCUCUGUAGACUAAAGGAGCCGCCUGAGUGUUAAAGGAUAUCUACUGGUUGUAAGGUAGCAGAUUACCAGAGGAGUUGAUUCUAAAAAUGCCUCUCUAGCAGCUUAGGGAACACAACACAUUUUAAACAUUGGGGCAGUAAAACAGACUAGUGAAAGUUACCUAUGCAUCUUAGGGAACCUGGGCAGAUUUUGCUAAUUAUCCCAUGCCUUUCUCUCAGUCCUACAACCUGAAUUGCUAACAUUUCUGACCUGCGAAGGAAGGGGUGCAUCCAGGAGGGAAUGGAUGCGGGGUUGGGAGUGUUGCAUGGCCCAUACGGAGGCAAAUGUGAUUGGGGCUUUCCCUCAGUGCCAUUCAUCUACCGAUCACCCUAGAUACCCCUGAGGGCUGUCGGGAGGGGGCUCAAGAGAAAGGAACCUUAGGAAUCAUCUGAGUGUAGCCCAGACCGGAAUUCCGCAGUUGUUCCAAACUCCUUCCUCCACCUCCACGCAUCCGAGGCAGAUCGGGAUUCGGGACACUGUGUACUCACACCAAUUGCUCUCCAGGCCCAGACAGAAAAGUUGGAAGCGGCUUUGGCAGAACCCAACAUGCCUGCUCUGUAUUGAACGGGUGAUUGAGAGCUGCCUAGGCCGGGAAACCUCUCACCCGAGUCUUGAAGAGUGGCGGCUGCACUAAUUGCGUUUAAGUAGCCGUCGGGUGCCCACCUUACCCUCCAGAAAGAAAGAGAAAGAUGCACCUCAAACAGACAUGGGGUGCGUGCACUUACCUCGGUGUAGAAUCUCAGUAUGGGACCUCCAAUAUGUUACCGCUGUUGACCGGUGACGAGUUCUUGCUUCCCCAAUGUUGAAGAAUAACACCAAAGAAGCACGCCGAGGCAAGGUCAGAGUAGAAAUUAGAAGUUUAUUAAAGGACAGCAGAAAAGACUUCUCCCGGAGGAAGAAGGGGACCCAAGAGGUGGAAUCCCCAUCUAAUGCUUUUAAAAGAAAAUUUUCCUUUAUGAUUAGUGCUUUUCAUGUUUUUUAAGGAUUUUUUUCCUAUCCUCAAAAAUGUUCUAAUGAAAAUAUUCUACGUGCUAGUCUAAAAACUAUGAUUUAUUGUGACCAGCCUAAUACAACAUGAUCAAUCUUAGUCAGUUUUCUAUUGCUAUAGACUGAAUAAUUUAUAAAGAAAAUAGGCAUAUUUAGCUCACAGUCCUGGAAGUCCAAGAGUAUGACACUGGCAUCUGCUUGGCAUGUGCUCCUGCCAAUUCAAUGACACAGUAGAGGUCAAUAUAUGGUAAGACAGCACAGGCCAACCAGAGGGGGUUCACUUUUAUAACAAAACCACUCAGAUGAUAACUCAUCAAUUCAUGAAUUAAUUAAACCAGGAAGAGCCCUCAUGACUCUAUUGCCUCUUCAUUGUCCCACCUGGUCCCACCCCUUAGCACCUCACAACGAAAACUGAAUUCAACAUGAGAUUUGAUGGAGAAAUUGAAACCCUAGUAGAUCUCCCCCGAAACUUGGUUUAAAUGUCAAGACUGAUGACACAGCACACACAAUUAGAGGCUAUGAAAUGUUUUUUUUACUUAAAUAACUAGGCCUCCAGAGAUAGCAGAGUGUGCCUCCCAAGCUGAUCCAAAACAGCUUGAGCAAGCCAGAAAAGGAGACUGGCUCUGUUUUUCUUGUCAAUUUGGUGUUGGGGUCAGUGUAAUGAAUUCUCAUGCCUGGGUGAGGGCUUGUAUGGUUUGAAUCCCCCACCAAUGCCAAAAGAGAGAACACCUUGGCUUUCUUAUCAGAUGGCUUGCCCAGAUGUGGAGCACAAGCAAAAGAGAAAAAUGAGGGGCUAGGGAUGUGGCUCAAGCUUGCCUGGCAUGAGCGGGGCACUGGGUUCGAUCCUCAGCACCACAUAAAAAUAAAAAAUAAAAAUGUUGUGUCCACCGAAAACUAAAAAAUAAAUAUUAAAAAAAUUCUCUCUCUCUCUCUCUCUCUCUCUCUCUCUCUCUCUCUCUCUCUCUCUCUCUUUCUCUCCCCCUCCUCUCUUUAAAAGAGAGAGAGAGAGAGAAAUGAGGCUUUAAAAGCUGUCAAUAGCCAAACAUCAAAAAACGAGUCAGGCUUUUUAUUACAUGAUUUCACUUUUGUUGUAUAAAUACACUGCCCAUCUCUGGAUAUCCAGAUGACCUAACUGCAUUACCUUUGAAGUAAGGUUGAGACACACUCUUGAUAUUCAAUAUAUAUUAUGGGGUUUCUAAUCAGUGUAACAAAUCAUGAAAAAGAAGGAAGGAUUAAGGAUUGUCUAUUCUCCCACCAGUAUCAUGUUGUCAAUUUACUGUCACCUCACAAUAAGUUUCAAAUCUGUUAGAUUGCUAAGAGCCACAGCCAAGUAAUAUGAUGCAUGGCAUUUUUGGUUGAACGGUGAUGCCAGCAAGCCAUUGAGAUGAUAUGAUUAUGUUAAGAUUUGCAUUCAUGUGGAUAUUGGACUCCUGCUGUUCACCUCGGCCUGCUACGGGACUCCUGGAGAGUUCCCAUUGGUUGGGGAAGUGCGGUAGGAGGGAAUUCCGGAGGAGGAGGAGGAGGAGGAGGAGAGAAUUCCGGAGGAGGAACUUCCUCUUGGGAUCCGGGGAGUACUCCGCGUGGGUCGGUCGGUAUGGGGCAUUGGCGGCAGUUUCAAAAAUAAAGUUUGUUCCUGCUUAAGUGGCUCGUGAUUUUGUGCCCAGCCAGACUGCGGCAUUAGAUGAUAUCCUUUCUUCUUCAAGAUUGUCUUAGUUAUUCUUGGUUCUUUACAUCUCCAUUCACAUUUUGAAAUCUAAUUGCUAAUGUUCAUCAAAAUAUGAAUAAAUAAAAGAAUAACAGCGAGAUUGAGAUUUCAUUGAGAUAACAGAUCAAAGCAGACCCCAGUAGCACAGGCCCUAAUUCCAGCAAUUUGAGAGUCUGAAGCAGGAGGAUUGAAAGUUCAAGGCCAGCCUCAGGAACUUAGACUCUGUCUCAAAGUUUUAAAAUGUUUAAAAAGGGGUGGGAGCCGGGCUUGAUGGCUCACACCUGUAAUCCCAGCAGUUCAGGAGGCUGAGGCAAGAGGAUCACCACGUUCAACGCUAGCCUCAGCAAUUUAACAAGAUCCUAAGCAACUUAGCAAGAUCAUGUAUCAAAAUAAAAAAUAAAAAGGGCAGAGGAUGUGGCUCAAUGCUUAAGCAUCCCUGGGUUCAAUCCUGGGUACCAAAAAUAAUUUAAAAUAGAAAAGGAUGGAGAUGUAGUCAGUGUAAAGUGCCUCUGGGUACAAAAUAAAGGAAGGAAGGGAAAGAAAUGAUGAUUAAUUUGGGAAAGAAACUUCCAAUACAUGAACAUUGUACAUUCUUUAAUUUCACUGAGUACUUUGCAAGUUAUGCACAGAGCUCUUGUACAAUUUUGGUUAGAUUAUUCUUGGUUGUUGAUGAUUUUUUGAUGAUUUGUAAGUCUUAUCUUUUUAAGUUUAUUCUCUGACAGUAUGUUGCAAAUAUAUAGAAAUUCAAUUGACUUUUAUAUACUCAUCUUCCAUCUGGUAAUCUUGCAAAAUUCACUUAUUUAUUCUAAUAGUUUUUAUCUGUAGAUUCUUUUGGAUUUUCAAUAUAUAACUCAAGCCACCUGUGAAUUAUGGCAGCUUUAUUUCCUCCUUUUCUAUCCUUAACCCUUCUUUCUUUUUCAUGAUUUAUUACAUUGGCUUGACUCCCAGUUUAAUAUAUAUUGAAUAUUAAAAAAUGUUAGCAAGCAUAAUUGUCUCAUCCUUAUCUCAGAUGUAAAAACUUUUAACAUUUCUCCUUUAAAUAUAGUCAUUCCUUAGUAUCUAUGAGGGGGUUGGUUCCAAGACCCAGUGCAGAUACCAAAAUCUGAUGAUGCUCAAGUCCCUUAUAUAAAAUGGCAUGGUAUUUAUGUAUAACCUAUGCACAAUCCUGUAUACUUUUAAACAUCUCUAAAUUACUUAUAAUACCUGAUAUAAUACAAAUUCUAUCUAAAUAGUUGUUGUAUUAUAUUUUUUUAGAGAAUAAUGACAAGAAAACCCACCUGUAUAUAUUCAGUACAGACACAUUCUUUUUUCAAAUAUUUUCACACAGUGCUUGGCUGAAUUUGAGGAUGCAGAAGCCACAGAUAGAGACAACUACACAUGGUUUACUUAGUUCAUAUGCCUUAUCAGAUUCUUUCUGUUCCUUAUUUGAGAAAAGUUUUUGUAAUGAAUAGGUCUUGAAUUUUCCAAGUUUUUGUACAUUCAUUUAUAUGAUCAUUUUUCUUCCUAAUUAUUUUCAUGUGAAUUGCAUUAAUUGCUUUUUCAAUCUUAAACCUGCCUUAUGCUCUUGAAAUAAAACCAAUCCAGUCUUAAUGUGUUGUUUUUAUAUAUCAUUGGAUUUGACUUAGAAAUAUUUUGUUUAGGUUUAUAACGUCCGUAUUCACAAAUAAAAUCAGCCUUUCUCAUACUGUGGUUGUCAGGCUUUGGUACCUUAUGACUGUCCCUAAGCUAGAGGCUACCAUAGUUCAGUCAGAGUGGAUUCCCUCUCUCCGAGGGCUUGUCCAUUUCCAGUUCAUACUUAUUGCCAUGGCAGAGCCCCUUAGGAUUAAACCAAAAACCACUUUGGUGCUUUCCAGAGCCCCUUCUCCUUGUCAGGCCCUGAUUUCCAAUUUUUGUUCCCUUUAUCCUAUGAACAUGUCAAAUUUUCUGCUUUUUAGCCUGUUAGUUCUUGUCAUCAACAAUAGUAUUAUGGGGAAGGACAGCCCCAAAUGUCAAGCUCACCUAAGUAAGCUUCCCUUCUCACCCAAGUCUUGGCCCCAUAACUGUUCAUCACUUUGGUGGUUAUGCAAUACUUUCAAACAGAUUUUUUUUUAAAAAAAAAAUAUGUUUUGUCAAUCUUCUAGUUGUUCUGAGAAGGUGUGGUCUAAAUCAACUUCUUUUAUCAUUGUGUUGAAAGUUCCCCAAGGUUUACUUUUGAAAUACUGUCUUAAACUAUAGAUGUACAAUGGCAUAUUCAGAAAAAAUGGAAAAAAUAUACACAACUUUUUACCCCACUAAUAAACACUGCCAUCAGUCUGGGGUAUUUCUUCCUGGUCUUUUCUCAUGGGUACAUUUUUAUAUGGUUGCAUCCAUGGUUCUCAAAUAAGUUCACAUGCUGGGGUUUUUUUGAGGGGGUAGGGGGUGUUUUGUUUUUUUAACCCAUAACUUUAUUCCAAUCAGUAUUUUUCACCUACUUACUUCAUAUUGUAAAAAUCACUCCCUCACACCCCCUCCCCCAAAAAACCUUUAAAUUCUCUCCCAACCUCUCUCUUUUCUCUCUCUCUCUCUCUCUCUCUCUCUCUCUCUCUCUCUCUCUCUCUCUCUCUCUUUCCCUCCCUCAUUUUUUUUCAGUUUUCCCAAGAGAAAAAACUACAGCUACUUCUCGUACUCUAGUGAAACAGUAGCCUGUAAAAUGAAGCUGAUUGAUGGGUGGAAAAUGGAGUAGCCCUCUCUGCUGGUCCUCUUGAUCAUGACUCACAGUCUUGGCUAGCCAAGCUGUGCAUCCAAGAAACCAGGUAUGGGGGAGCAGGAAGGGGAGGUCUGACCAGAAUUAACAAUACCCC